This 401-nucleotide transfer-messenger RNA is filed under the name Planctomycetota bacterium. It matches the Rfam family "transfer-messenger RNA". Rfam says of the family: Bacterial tmRNA, also known as 10Sa RNA or SsrA, is named for its dual tRNA and mRNA-like properties. Its role is to liberate the mRNA from a stalled ribosome. Lineage: Bacteria; Pseudomonadati; Planctomycetota. The record is from RNAcentral.
GGGGGCGACUGGUUUCGACCGGAUAGCUGCGGUGGCGGUGGCAUGCUCAGGAUGCUCGAUUGGCCUGAUAAAAAAUUCGAGCACAACUUAACUGCUAACAACGAUGUUGCAGGCCGAGUCGGCUUUGCCGGCGCGGUUCGUAUGGCUGCCUAAUAAAGGCAACCUCAGCCCUGCGGGAAUGCCCGCGAUCUGCAGGCUGUAAUUUGCGGGCUGGUCCUUUUGCUCGGAUGUUGGCAAUUGGAUGAGAAACUGACUUCUGGAAUUCAGCGAAGGGUGUCGAUCUUCGUCGCUGAAUUUGAGAUGUGACGGCGCAAGCCGUCACGGCAAAGACCGACUAAGCAUGUAGAGGCCGUCAUUGACGUCAUCUCGGGACGGGGGUUCGAUUCCCCCCGCCUCCAUUC